UAGCUAAUCCUGGUCGGACAUCAGGAGGUUAGUGCAAUGGCAUAAGCUAGCUUGACUGCGAGCGUGACGGCGCGAGCAGGUGCGAAAGCAGGUCAUAGUGAUCCGGUGGUUCUGAAUGGAAGGGCCAUCGCUCAACGGAUAAAAGGUACUCCGGGGAUAACAGGCUGAUACCGCCCAAGAGUUCAUAUCGACGGCGGUGUUUGGCACCUCGAUGUCGGCUCAUCACAUCCUGGGGCUGAAGUAGGUCCCAAGGGUAUGGCUGUUCGCCAUUUAAAGUGGUACGCGAGCUGGGUUUAGAACGUCGUGAGACAGUUCGGUCCCUAUCUGCCGUGGGCGCUGGAGAAUUGAGGGGGGCUGCUCCUAGUACGAGAGGACCGGAGUGGACGCAUCACUGGUGUUCGGGUUGUCAUGCCAAUGGCACUGCCCGGUAGCUAAAUGCGGA
Molecule: ribosomal RNA, 442 nt
Filed under: Klebsiella pneumoniae
Lineage: Bacteria; Pseudomonadati; Pseudomonadota; Gammaproteobacteria; Enterobacterales; Enterobacteriaceae
Description: partial 23S ribosomal RNA
Rfam family: Bacterial large subunit ribosomal RNA
Source: RNAcentral